Molecule: long non-coding RNA, 7579 nt
Organism: Lycium barbarum (goji berry)
Lineage: Eukaryota; Viridiplantae; Streptophyta; Magnoliopsida; Solanales; Solanaceae
Exons: 3
Source: RefSeq, a predicted model, not a curated record
UGAAUCAUUUCCGGAAAAAAGUGAAAUUCUCAUGGCGAAACGGGUAUUGUCAUGUCAUGCUUUCAUCCUCAAUUUGAUGCCCUUUUUUGUAUCUUGAGAAUCCAAAAGUUCUGAGGCUAUGAAGAUUAUCUUAAAAAGACUGAAAUAUUGGAGUUAAUUCCAAGGCCUGGCUUGGCAAAGACAACGUGGAAGGUCUGUGAAGGAGGAUGAGAAAUAAUAAGUUUCUUGUUGUCCCCUCUCACGAGGCAGCCGAUCUUUGCAGCCAUGGCCGUUUUAGCUCUGCUCUUUGAUUAAAUAGGCGAAAAUCUGAGCCUCCUUACCUCAGUUUUACUUCAGUUUGAUCACUGAAACAGUAUCUUUUAGAAGCUUUCUUGAAUUGAUCUAAAAAUUCAGUUAUUGCUUUCAAUCUUAAACUGAUUUGAUUUUCAACAAUGUGUGGGAUAAUUGGGUUUGCAUGAAAAAAGUACCAACAAAUGGCAUGGUCUCGAGUCUUGAUGCCUUCAUGUCCACACUAAUUUAAAGCUAUGUUACUCGGACUCUCCUAAAAUGUUGUCGGGUGCGUGUCGGAUCCUUCAAAAGUAGUGUAUUUUUGGAGGAUCCGACACGGGUGCGGCAACACUUUCGAAGAGGUGCUGAGUGCUGUCUUUCGUUCUUUUAUGCUGUCGCGAGCAUUUAAUGCUGCCGGAAGUGGUGCUGAGUAUAAUCGGCGGCUAAAAAGAGGCGGUGAUGAAUGCUAUGAUUCUUUCGUUCCCUUCUGAGCUUAUUAAUCGGGCUUCUUGAGAUUAUCCGACCCGUAUCUUGGCGGGGUAGGACUCCAGAUUUUCUGGUGGUUUUUGCAGCCAUGGCGUUGCGGAUCUCUCUUUGCCUAGCUCUUUUCCUGAGCUAUAACACAGAUCUGAGCCUCAAUUUCUGAGAAAAUGGGAUUAUUUGACUGAACUCCAGCCAAUUCCUCAGCUGCUGAACUUGCGCAGUUACGAUCUCUUUACUGGCAAAAAUCUUAGAUGGGAGAGAAUGAAGCUACGGAAAGUUUAAGUUUUUUUCGUUGAAAGGGUGGUUGCCUCUCUCUGCAUUAGCCCAUGAUUUCUCCAUUAUUGUGAAGAACCGCAACAGCCCUUUCUUUGCUCUUUCGGAUUGAAGAGCGGUCUCAAAAAUUAGCUAUCUGUUGCAUAUACAUUCAAAUAUCUCUAUAACCCUUAUUCUCAAUAACAACAUUUUGCUAUGACAGCUAAAAAAUACUUAGACAAAUGGCUCUGUUAUAGAGAGAUUUGAUUGUAUUCCCUCUCAGUGGGAGUAUUGAUCAGGAUGCAUUUGGAGUUUUGGACAAUAUUUGUGUUGAAACUUAAAGGGUUUCCAUGUCCUUCCAUGUUGUAUGCUAAUGCCAUGCAUCUUUCUGUUUCUUUCUUUCCUUCUUUCUUUUGUUUGGUGGUGGUGAGUAUAAUUGGCCGCUAAAAAGAGGCGAUGAUGAUUUCUGUGAUUGUUUCAUGGAACAACAACAUACCCAGUGUAAUACACAGACCUCACCCCUACAUAGUGGAUUGCUUCACGGGAACAGGAUCAAAUUUGCCCCUCUACUGUUCUAAAAGGAUUAUUGUUGUCUCCCUUCUGAGCUUAUUAGUCGGGUAUUUCAGAUUAUCCGACCCGUAUCUUGGCGGGGUAUGACCCCAGAUUUUCUGGUGGUUUUUGCAGCCAUGGCGUCGUUGGACUCUCUGUUAUGCCUUAGCUUAAACACAGAUCUGAGCCUCAAUUUCUGGGAAAUUGGAAGUAUUUGACCUGGAAGGUUUGCAAAUCACAUUAGUUUAAGUCUGAGGCGGCGGAGAAAGCAGGGAGCUGUUGGGAGUUUCUAUGGGUGGUUUUCCCUCCCUCUGUCAUUUCCUCCUCUGCCAAUGAUACUCAAAUGAAAAAUAUUUCCAAUUACAAAACCACCCUUGAUCGAUUUACUUAUUACUCCCUCUGUUCCAAUUAUUAGAGGCUAUGAAGAUUGUUGUUUGUGAAAAAAAGGAAUCUGACAUUUUACUUUUGAGCUGAAAAGACUGUAGGCGUUUGGACAAUAUUUGAUUGAUGUUGAUAAAAUAUAAUCUUAUCUUGGCGUGGCGUGGCAGCUCACAUGUGUCUGUGAGGUGUGGGGAGAAAAUAUCCAUUUUUGGUGUUUCUUCUGUGUCUCACAAGGCUAUCUGAAGCUUGCGGCCAUGAUAUGUUUUUUAAAGCUCUUUGAGUUUUGUCUGGAAAAGAGUCAGAAUCUGAGCCUACCCCAUUACCUUUAUUCUGCUGAAAGAAUGAGGCGUUUCUGACUCAGAGAAUGAAUUCUCUGGGUCAGAACAAGUUAUGCCGGCAUGGUGAGUAUGAUUGACAGCUUAAAAGAGACUGAUGGGUUUGUAUAUCUUUUGUAUUAAUCAGGCAUUUGAGAUAAUCGUACACGUAUCUUGGCGGGGCAUGCCCCCAGAUUUUCUGGUGGUUUUUGCAGCCAUGACGUGCCAGACUCUCCUUUUGCCCAAGUUAUAACACAGAUCUGAGUCUCAAUUUCUGGGAAAAUGGAAACUCAAAGGAAAUUCUUUUUUCUUAAUUCAAGACCUGAAGGGUCUUCCCCCCCAAUUGCUCUUGAGAGAUGGAAAGAUGCAAAGGGAAGAACAAAAACUCGGUAGGGAGAGAAUGAGGCUACAAGGGAGUAAAGGUUUUUUGUUGAAAGGGUGGUUGCCUCUCUCUGUAUUAGCCCGUGAUUUCUCAACAACCCCAACAGCUCUUUCUUCAGGACUAUUUGUGCAAAUUAUCCCUUCCCUCUUACAUAGGGACUAUUAACAGCCUGUUUGGAUUGCUAUUGCGAUAAAUAUUCUUGUUCUUUCCUUUAUGCUUCUUUGGAGCAUUCAAUGAUGCCUGUGGGUGUGGUAGAAGUGUCGGUGGUUAGUAUGAUUGUCGGCUUGAUAGAGGCGAUGAUGAUUUUGUCAAUUCCUUCAAUCCCUUAUGAGCUUAUUAAUCGGGCAUUUGAGAUUAUCAGGGCCGUAUCUUGGCAGGGCAUGGCCCCAGAUAUUUUGGUGGUUUUUUGCAGCCAUGGUGUUUCCGGACUCUCCUUUUGCCGCUUUAGCACAGAUGUGAGCCUCAAUUUAUGUGAAAAUGGAAAUUUUGGGCCGAUUUUGGAACUCCGGCAAAAUCCUGUGCUGUUGAACUUUGCACCAUCUCUUUACCGGCGAGCUCUUCGUCUGAUCUCUUUAUUGGUGAAACCUAGUUGUAUGUUUCAUCUUCUUUGUCAAACUCAAAAACCCUAAGUCCCUUUUUUACGGAUUUCCAAAGGUGGGAUUUAAGUGGUAUAUCUGGUUCUACCUGAUUGGACUGAAGCAGACAUUCGAUGGGCUUUUAUUUUAAGGCCCACAAAUGGUUAGAACACACAAGGAGAUUUCAGUAGUGGCUGAGAAGUGACCAUUUGUGAAUUUUACCCGAAAUUUCACCGGUAUCCCUUUUGUGAGCUGGUGCAAAAUUUUUCGUUAUGUAUUAGAGGCUACGAAGAUUGUUUGUGUGAAAGAUGAAUCAGACAUUUUCCUCUUGGAGCUGAAAAACUGUUUAGGCGUUUGGACAUGAAUUGAGUUGACAUUGAGAACUAGUGUUAUCUUGGCGUGGCAGCUCAGAUUGGUCUGUGAGAUAUGGAGAGGCGAGAUCCAUUUUUGGUUUGUCUUCUAUGUCUCAUAAUUCUAACUGAUGCUUGCAGCCAUGGCAGUAUUAAACUUAUAUAUGCAUUUGCCCCUCUACAUACAACGACUCAUCUUUAAUCUCUGCAUUAGCCCAUGAUUUCUAUGUUAAUGAAAGAACCAAACAGCCUUUCUUCGCUCUUACGGGUGAAAGAGCGGUCUAAAGAAAUGGCUAUUUGUGCACUUUAUGCCACUGGUCCCAGUAGUGGAAACAGCGGUGCUGAAUAUAUAGACAAUUGAGGCAAAAAGACCUUGUAAAUCUUGAAUUUUAAGGAAUUGUCCAUCCCUUUUUAAAAAAAAAUUGAAAUUGGAAGAUGAAAACGUGGUCGGCACAAUCCGAACCUGCGCAGGCAAAGCCCACAUGAUUUCUAGUCAUGCCCGAUAACCACUCUGGCACGACCACAUGGUACAGAUUUUUUUUUUUAUGCGUGCAUCCCUUUUGUUUCCUCUCUUUUUAAUGUAUAUUAUUGAGGUUGCGAAUAUAAUCAGUGUCAUAUCUUAUUCCCUUCUGAGCUUAUUGUUCGGGCAUUUCAGAUCAUCCGACUCGUUUCUUGGCAGUGCACGCCCCCAGAUUUUCUGGUGAUUGUUGCAGCCAUGGCGUCGUUGGAUCUCUGUUUGCUUGAGCUAUUACGCAGAUCUGGCCUCAAUUUCUGGGAAAUUAGAAAUAUUGGCACAAAUGGGGUACUUUGAGGGCUGCUGUUUAAAGUUUUUGUCAGUGGUAAUAUGAUUGACGGCAUGAAAGAGGGAUGAUGAUUCUAACAGUCUUUCAUUCCCUUCUGAGCUUAUUAAUUGGGCAUUUGGGAUUAUCCGGCUCGUAUCUUGGCAGGGCAUGCCCCCAGAUUUUUUGGUGGUUUUCGAAGCCAUGGCGAUGUCCGAUCUCUUUUUGCAUCUGUCUAGUUGAAGUGUCAAAGUGAUCAUUAUCUAACUGACAAUUCGUGCCAAGUUUGAGGGGCUAUCUAUAUAUUUGGCCUAUCUAAAAUAACUAUACGAUGCAAUGUGUAACAACCAUCCAAACAAGCUGUUAUUGAUUCGUUUGGUUUAGAGACAAGUUAUGCCAGUGGUAUGAGUAUGAUUGACGGCUUAAAAGAGGGAUGAUGGCUUUGACAAUCUUUCAUUUCCUUUUGAGCUCUUAUUAAUUGGGCAUUUGAGAUUAUCCGGCUCGUAUCUUGGCAGGGCAUGCCCCAGCUUUUCUGGUGGUUUUCGCGGCCAUGGCAAUGUCCGAUCUCUUUUUGCAUCUGUCAAGUUGAAAUGUCGAAGUGAUCACCAUCUAACUGACAAUUCAUGGCAAGUUGAGGGACUAUCUAUGUAUCUGGCCUAUCUAAAAUAACAAUACGAUACAAUGGGUAACCACCAUCCAAACGAGCUUUUGUUGAUCUGUUCGGUUUAGAGACGAGUUAUGCCGGUGGUAUGAGUAUGAUUGACGGCUGGGAGGCGAUGAUGAUUUUGUGAAUUCCCUUCUAAGAUUAUUAAUCUGACAUUUGAGAUUAUCUCGAUUUCUAGGAAUUCUUUUUAGUUUUGGUGAAAGCGGAGAGCUGUGUGGGGUCUCUAUGGGUGGUUUUGCCCCUCUCUGUCAUUCUCCGCUGCCGAUGAUCUCUCAAAUGGAGGUUUUUCCAAUUGCAAAACCACGCUUAGUUGAACGAUUUAUUACUCCUUCCGUUCCAUUUUUUAGAGGCUAUGAAGAUUGUUCUUUGUGAUAGAUGAAUCAGACAGUUUCUUCUUGGGCUGAAAAGACUGUUUAGGCAUUUGGACAAUAUUUGGUUGACAUUGAAACAACCAUAAGCAUAUCUUGGCAUGGCAGCUCAGAUGGGUCUGUGUGAUGUGGAAAGAAAAGAUCCAUUUUUGGUGUUUCUUCUCUGUUUGAUAAGGCUAAUGAUGCUUGCAGCCAUGUCAGCUUUUAAAGCUCUUUCGAUUUUGUCUGAGAAAAGCGAAUCUGAGCCUACCCUGUUAUCUUGAUUGUUCUAGAAAAAUGAGGCUUUUGCGACUCUGAGAAUGCUGGAGUUCCUAAGGGUGGUUCCUCUGUUUCUCUGUGAGUUCAUAGCCGAUGAAUUCUUUUGUCAUCAAGAACCCUCGCAUUGCAAAAUGCUAAUGAUUGAGUGGCCAUCUUAUCUAAAUCUUUAAGCUGUUAGAGAAAGAGUACACUUUUAUUACUUAUAUUAUAUCUCAACGAUCAAUCAACUAUGGCUCAUCCCCAAAUAGUUGGGGUCGGCUAUAUAACCUCUGGAUCCUUUCCGAUCUAAACCCUAAACCUAAUCAUUGAGGCUGCGAUGAUCUUAUCUGGUAAGCUUGAUAUCUCGGAUACUUGAGCUGAUUUGUAUCUUGGUUUGGCAAAGUUCAGGGAAAGUUUUGGGAGCUGGUUCUAUUCUCUGUCUCACAAAAGCUUUGGCAUUUGCACCCAUGACAGAUUAGCCUUUUUCUGAUAGUUUUAGACAAAUCUGAGCCUCAUUUGUUUGUAACUUCCUAUUCCUUCUACAAUAUUAUAGUCUUCUUUCUUCUUUAUGUUUGCAUUUCUCCUACAUUUUCAUUUCCCCUCUUCACAACAAGAACAACACUUUAAUCUUAAACAAGUUAUAGUCAGAUAUAUGAAUACUUAAUAUUCAUUCUGCGCCAUUUUGGCUCGUUUUGUUCCUAUGUUCAAUAGUUUGAGGUUCUCUAACACUCAGUGAAAAAAACAUUAGUGGGGAGUUUCCAUUGGUGGACCCUAUAUGUCAUUCUCCGCAGUCAAUGAUAACGCAAAUGAUUUUUUUCAAAAUUAGAAGUCACCCUUUUGGUGAAAUUAUAGAUCACGUCCCUAUUUCCCUUCUCUUGUUUGAGCCUCCGCCAUACCCUAAGCGGAAAUCUGAGCCUCCUCCAUACCUUAGUUUAACUUUUGUUUGAUCACUACAACUGGACAUUGGAGAAGCUUUCUGCGAAUAAAUUUGAACUUCUAGUUAUUGGUUUCAGUCUUAAACUGAUUUGGUUUUUGAAGUUCUGACAUUAUUGGGUUUCCAUGAAGAGAGUAACAAAAAUGGCAUAAAAACAGCCAAACUCCAGACCAUGCCAUACUAGAAACAAGGAUGUUGGCAAAAACUGUUGAUGGUGAGGGUGGACAGAAAAGCAAUCCUUCUAUUCAUCACUGGUUAUCAUACGUGACAUUACAAAUGGCAGUCUUGAUGGAGAUGAUAUCAAGAUUCCUUGGUCCAAGGAAUUCAGCAUUCUUGAAGACAAAAUUACAGGUUAAAGAGAGAAUACGCGAGAAGCAUUAUUCUUUGUUGCUCUUGAGUUGCUCAAUUAGUGCAGCAUUUUGAUAAUCAUGUCAGCACCACCUUCUCUUUCGCGCUUUCCAUUGGCAAGAUUAGUUGCUCUUCGGUUAUUCUCCAUUGAUGACUACAUUUCAAGUAAUAACCAAAGCUGUCAAUUUUAAGGGUACGAUGUUAAUGUACAGAUGAUCUGACAUCCUUUUCAAGGAUCCAAGAACCAUUUUUAUUAUUAGAUCAUUUUAAAGCAUCCCAAAGAACCAGUGAAUACUACCCUCUGACAGGUGCUAAAUCGAGAUCCAAUUCUUAGUCUGUACUUUCUGGGUAUCUUUGUCGCUUUUAGACUAGCUGCAAAGAGGAACCACAAGUUUGCAAGAAUGGUAUGUAAAUAACUUCUGUUUAUGUUUUAUCUCUAAUUGAGCGUGCACCUUUUUCUGAAAAUAUGGUCUUCUUGGUGUAUGUGCAUUGUGGGAUUUCGGUUUUUUUUUUUUUUUUGGAAGGGGGUAGGGUGGUUUUGAUCCCUGAAAAUCUACAUCUUGAUUAACUAAGACUGACCACUGCACAUACUACUGUAUAUGCCGAAGUGAGUGAUGCCUGUCACCAAUGGGCAAUGUGGCAGUUGGCGGAGACAGGACUUUAUGCGAGGGGAUUCAAAAAAAUAUUAGAAUAUCA